Long non-coding RNA from Ficedula albicollis (Collared flycatcher), 842 nucleotides. RefSeq lists it as uncharacterized. The record is from RefSeq and is a predicted model, not a curated record. Lineage: Eukaryota; Metazoa; Chordata; Aves; Passeriformes; Muscicapidae. The transcript is spliced from 6 exons.
UGAGGGGUGUCCGCAGCAAACGGUCGGGGGGUUCUGCAAAGCUGCGGCCGCGCCGGUGGCUGCCUCGCCUCUGGGUUCGCUCCUCGGCCGCAGAGGAAGGAGAUGUGAUGAGGAAGGACCUGGUUCUGCACCGCCACAGGCUCUUCGGAAGGUGUCGCUUGCGAAAGGUGUCAGCGCUUUCCGGAGCGUGUACUGGGGAGAGGAGAAAGGCUGCCGUGCGAUGGGGCCCCCGGCGGAACUGCCCCAGGCUCCUGUGGGAGGACUUUGCUGAUGCUCCUCCAACCCAGGAGUAACGCGAUGCCACAGCUAAUGGCAGUCACGAGACAGAAACCACGGUGGUGUUGGAAUGGAGGUAAAAGAUUUCUCUGCAGUUCCAUCCAGGGCAGAAAAAAAAACAACAAAACAGCGUUGUGACAAGAGGAAGUGCAACUGAACCCUCAGUGCCUGUCGAUGUGUUCCAGAGGACUCCCAAGCCCAAACAUGACAGAUCCCUGCUGGACAUGCAGCUCUGACAAUAUUUUGCCUUGCCACCUUUGUGGAUUGAUUGUGCCCAUGUAGCAAGAUCCCUUCCCCUGACACAAGAUUUGUUAACUGGAGCCAAUAGGCACCCAGCUGCAGGGAGAAGAUCAUCUUCAUCACCCUUAAGCACCAGGAAAGGAAUUUCCAGAUGGAAUUAGCCAGGCCUCCACCCCUACAGUCCGAGCAGUUGCUGACUAUCAUUAAUUAUUCCAUCAAAUGGAGCAUUCACCACCCUCCUGCUCUGCUGUCCUUCAGAAAAACCCCGAGCCAGUUCCAGAACUCACAGGAAAGAUUGAAACAGCUUUAAAUCAGCUGUACCUUCA